This 230-nucleotide ribosomal RNA is filed under the name uncultured bacterium. RNAcentral's name for it is "partial 16S ribosomal RNA". It matches the Rfam family "Bacterial small subunit ribosomal RNA", at positions 118 to 347 of the family's 1533-position model. The record is from RNAcentral.
UGAGGAACUUGUCCCGGUCUCUGGAAUAACAGGUGGAAACACCUGCUAAUACCGGAUGACGUCGGACCAUCGCAUGAUGGUCUGACGAAAGGGUUACCGGAUCGGGAGAGCCUCGCGGCCUAUCAGCUUGUUGGUGAGGUAACGGCUCACCAAGGCAUCGACGGGUAGCUGGUCUGAGAGGAUGAUCAGCCACACUGGGACUGAGACACGGCCCAGACCUCUAACGGGGA